This 849-nucleotide ribosomal RNA is filed under the name uncultured bacterium. RNAcentral's name for it is "bacterial SSU rRNA". It matches the Rfam family "Bacterial small subunit ribosomal RNA", at positions 112 to 984 of the family's 1533-position model. The record is from RNAcentral.
AACACGUGACUAACCUACCCCGGUGUGGGGGAUAACGGGUCGAAAGACUCGCUAAUCCCGCAUACGAUCCGCCUCGGCGGAGGAAAGCCGUAAGGCGCACUGGGCGGGGGUCGCGUCCCAUUAGAUAGUUGGUGUGGUAAUGGCGCACCAAGUCGAUGAUGGGUCUCUGGUCUGAGAGGACGACCAGACAGAUUGGGACUGAGACACGGCCCAAACUCCUACGGGGGGCAGCAGCAAGGAAUUUUCGGCAAUGGGCGCAAGCCUGACCGAGCAACGCCGCGUGGAGGAUGACGGCUCUUGGGUUGUAAACUCCUUUUGGGGGGGACGAUAAUGACGGUACCCUCCGAAUCAGGCCCGGCUAACUACGUGCCAGCAGCCGCGGUAAUACGUAGGGGCCAAGCGUUGUCCGGAAUUACUGGGCGUAAAGCGUGGGUAGGUGGUCGGUGAUGUGCCGCGUGAAAGCGCCGGAGUAAUGCCGGCGAGGUCGCGGUAGACACACGGACUCGAGGCUCGCAGAGGAACGUGGAAUUCCCGGUGUAGUGGUGAAAUGCGUAGAUAUCGGGAGGAACACCAGUGGCGCAAGCGGCGUUCUGGGCGAGACCUGACACUGAGCCACGACGGCGUGGGGAGCAAACAGGAUUAGAUACCCUGGUAGUCCACGCAGUAAACGAUGCAUACCAGGUGUGGGAUGGCGUUCGCGUCGUUCCGUGCCGCAGCUUACGCGAUGAGUAUGCCGCCUGGGGACUACGAGCGCAAGCUUAAAACUCAAAGGAAUUGACGGGGGCCCGCACAAGCAGCGGAGCGUGUGGUUUAAUUCGACGCAACGCGAAGAACCUUACCUAGUCUUGA